RNAcentral lists this ribosomal RNA (484 nucleotides) under swine manure pit bacterium PPC3. RNAcentral's name for it is "bacterial SSU rRNA". It matches the Rfam family "Bacterial small subunit ribosomal RNA", at positions 7 to 506 of the family's 1533-position model. The record is from RNAcentral.
GAGAGUUUGAUUCUGGCUCAGGACGAACGCUGGCGGCGUGCCUAACACAUGCAAGUCGAGCGAGGAGAUUCCCUUCGGGGAUGAACCUAGCGGCGGACGGGUGAGUAACACGUGGGCAACCUGCCUUAUAGAGGGGAAUAGCCUUCCGAAAGGAAGAUUAAUACCGCAUAACAUUACAUUUUCGCAUGAAGAAGUAAUUAAAGGAGUAAUCCGCUAUAAGAUGGGCCCGCGGCGCAUUAGCUAGUUGAUGAGGUAACGGCUCACCAAGGCGACGAUGCGUAGCCGACCUGAGAGGGUGAUCGGCCACAUUGGGACUGAGACACGGCCCAGACUCCUACGGGAGGCAGCAGUGGGGAAUAUUGCACAAUGGGGGAAACCCUGAUGCAGCAACGCCGCGUGAGUGAUGAAGGUCUUCGGAUCGUAAAGCUCUGUCUUCAGGGACGAUAAUGACGGUACCUGAGGAGGAAGCCACGGCUAACUACGU